RNAcentral lists this ribosomal RNA (465 nucleotides) under Vreelandella stevensii. RNAcentral describes it as "partial 16S ribosomal RNA". It matches the Rfam family "Bacterial small subunit ribosomal RNA", at positions 338 to 795 of the family's 1533-position model. Lineage: Bacteria; Pseudomonadati; Pseudomonadota; Gammaproteobacteria; Oceanospirillales; Halomonadaceae. The record is from RNAcentral.
CCUACGGGUGGCAGCAGUGGGGAAUAUUGGACAAUGGGGGCAACCCUGAUCCAGCCAUGCCGCGUGUGUGAAGAAGGCCCUCGGGUUGUAAAGCACUUUCAGUGAGGAAGAACGCCUGGUGGUUAAUACCCAUCAGGAAAGACAUCACUCACAGAAGAAGCACCGGCUAACUCCGUGCCAGCAGCCGCGGUAAUACGGAGGGUGCGAGCGUUAAUCGGAAUUACUGGGCGUAAAGCGCGCGUAGGUGGCUUGAUAAGCCGGUUGUGAAAGCCCCGGGCUCAACCUGGGAACGGCAUCCGGAACUGUCAAGCUAGAGUGCAGGAGAGGAAGGUAGAAUUCCCGGUGUAGCGGUGAAAUGCGUAGAGAUCGGGAGGAAUACCAGUGGCGAAGGCGGCCUUCUGGACUGACACUGACACCGAGGUGCGAAAGCGUGGGUAGCAAACAGGAUUAGAUACCCCAGUAGUC